CGGAGGAUCCGAGCGUUAUCCGGAUUUAUUGGGUUUAAAGGGUGCGUAGGCGGCCUGUUAAGUCAGGGGUGAAAGACGGUAGCUCAACUAUCGCAGUGCCCUUGAUACUGAUGGGCUUGAAUGUACUAGAGGUAGGCGGAAUGUGGCAAGUAGCGGUGAAAUGCAUAGAUAUGUCACAGAACACCAAUUGCGAAGGCAGCUUACUAUGGUAUUAUUGACGCUGAGGCACGAAAGCGUGGGGAUCAAACAGGAUUAGAUACCCUGGUAGUCCACGCCCUAAACGAUGAAUACUCGAUGUUAGCGAUAUACAGUUAGCGUCAAAGCGAAAGCGUUAAGUAUUCCACCUGGGGAGUACGCCCGCAAGGGUG
RNAcentral lists this ribosomal RNA (368 nucleotides) under uncultured organism. RNAcentral's name for it is "bacterial SSU rRNA". It matches the Rfam family "Bacterial small subunit ribosomal RNA", at positions 526 to 896 of the family's 1533-position model. The record is from RNAcentral.